Molecule: ribosomal RNA, 406 nt
Filed under: uncultured bacterium
Lineage: Bacteria
Description: bacterial SSU rRNA
Rfam family: Bacterial small subunit ribosomal RNA
Source: RNAcentral
GGGGAAUAUUGCACAAUGGGCGAAAGCCUGAUGCAGCGACGCCGCGUGAGGGACGAAGGUCUUCGGAUUGUAAACCUCUUUCAGCAGGGACGAAGCGAAAGUGACUGUACCUGCAGAAGAAGCACCGGCUAACUACGUGCCAGCAGCCGCGGUAAUACGUAGGGUGCAAGCGUUGUCCGGAUUUAUUGGGCGUAAAGAGCUCGUAGGCGGUUCGUCACGUCGGAUGUGAAAACCUGGGGCUUAACCCCGGGCCUGCAUACGAUACGGGCGAACUAGAGUUCGGUAGGGGAGACUGGAAUUCCUGGUGUAGUGGUGAAAUGCGCAGAUAUCAGGAGGAACACCGGUGUCGAAGGCGGGUCUCUGGGCCGAUACUGACGCUGAGGAGCGAAAGCGUGGGGAGCAAACA